Molecule: ribosomal RNA, 576 nt
Filed under: Catatropis onobae
Lineage: Eukaryota; Metazoa; Platyhelminthes; Trematoda; Plagiorchiida; Notocotylidae
Description: partial large subunit ribosomal RNA
Source: RNAcentral
CGUGAAACCGCUCAGAGGUAAACGGGUGGAGUUGAACUGCGAACCCCGAGAAUUCAACUGGUGAGUGUGGUAUGAGCUUGGCAUAAUGGUUGGCUUUGCGGGUCUGCUUAGCUGCAGGUCUUCACCUCUUGGUGGAGAUGCGCGAUACACUUGUCAAGUGGUGCGCGCUCGUUGAGUUACUCGGACAUGCUUGCCAGUGCACUUUCUCGGGGUGUUCACCACGACCGGCGCCGCUACUUGUCUAAUAUGGUUAAACCGGUCUUGCUUGGUCCUUGUGGCUUUGCUUGAUCGGGAUGGCAGGUAACUCGUUAACUUGUGUGUUGGCUUCGGUUGACAUGCGCUUGGUUUUCGAGUGUAAUCAGCUGACUGUAUUGGUGCUAUGUAGUGCGUCGGAGACGGCGGCUUGUGGUGUGUGCCUGCGUGCCUAUUUGCUGACGGAACCGGGUUUGGUUAUUUUGUUGCCUGUUCUGCAGGCCUGGUGAUGGCCCGGUUUCGCUUGGUGGAUGGGGGCGUGUGUGACACUUAUCAGGGCCUAUAGUCUGUGGUGUUGUGGUAGACUAUCCACCUGACCCGUCU